Molecule: ribosomal RNA, 875 nt
Filed under: Hymenochaete boddingii
Lineage: Eukaryota; Fungi; Basidiomycota; Agaricomycetes; Hymenochaetales; Hymenochaetaceae
Description: Hymenochaete sp. AG-2019a partial large subunit ribosomal RNA
Rfam family: Eukaryotic large subunit ribosomal RNA
Source: RNAcentral
UCCCUUAGUAACUGCGAGUGAACCGGGAAGAGCUCAAAUUUAAAAUCUGGCGGUUCUGCCGUCCGAGUUGUAAUCUGGAGAAGCGUUUUCCGCGUCGGACCGUGUACAAGUCUCUUGGAAUAGAGCGUCAUAGAGGGUGAGAAUCCCGUCCAUGACACGGACUCCCGGUGCUUUGUGAUACGCUCUCAAAGAGUCGAGUUGUUUGGGAAUGCAGCUCAAAAUGGGUGGUAAAUUCCAUCUAAAGCUAAAUAUUGGCGAGAGACCGAUAGCGAACAAGUACCGUGAGGGAAAGAUGAAAAGCACUUUGGAAAGAGAGUUAAACAGUACGUGAAAUUGUUGAAAGGGAAACGCUUGAAGUCAGUCGCGUCGUACGGAGCUCAGCCUUGCUUCUGCUUGGUGUAUUCUCCGUGUCGACGGGUCAACGUCAAUUUUGACCGGUGGAAAAGGGCUUAGGGAAUGUAGCGUUGUUUCGGCGACGUGUUAUAGCCUUGGGUCGUAUGCAUCGGUUGGGAUUGAGGAUCGCAGCACGCCCUUGUGGCCGAGGGUUCGCCCUACGUUCGUGCUUAGGAUGUUGGCAAAAUGGCUUUAAGCGACCCGUCUUGAAACACGGACCAAGGAGUCUAACAUGCCUGCGAGUGUUCGGGUGGAAAACCCUUGCGCGUAAUGAAAGUGAAAGUUGGGAUCCUUCGUAAGGAGGUGCACCGACGCCCGGCCCUGACGUUCUCUGACGGUGCUGCGGUAGAGCAUGUAUGUUGGGACCCGAAAGAUGGUGAACUAUGCCUGAAUAGGGUGAAGCCAGAGGAAACUCUGGUGGAGGCUCGUAGCGAUUCUGACGUGCAAAUCGAUCGUCAAAUUUGGGUAUAGGGGCGAAAGAC